AGGUAGAGAGAGCAAAAAAAGAAUGUUUUCCUUCGUUCAGCCACACAUCCGUGCGUCAUUUAAACGGCGUGCCACGCCCUUUGAGGGAUGAAGCGACGGUCCCCUGGGAGCAUUUGGAAUUCGGGAGGGUGAGCUGAGUUCACGUCCACAGAGAUGAGAGGAUGACUGUGCGCUCUGCGCUCCCAGGCAGAGCUGGACUGUGAUGACUGAGAGCCAGACUGCAUGUGUGCGCGUCACGCCCGCCAGCUCCAACGGAAACAGUGGAGCUACAG
This is a long non-coding RNA of Thalassophryne amazonica, 272 nucleotides long. RefSeq lists it as uncharacterized. The record is from RefSeq and is a predicted model, not a curated record. The transcript is spliced from 3 exons. NCBI's taxonomy places the organism in Eukaryota, Metazoa, Chordata, Actinopteri, Batrachoidiformes, Batrachoididae.